GGCCGAGUGGUGGAAUGGCAGACACCGGAGACUUAAAAUCUCUUGCUCCGUGAGGGGCGUGCGGGUUCAAGUCCCGCCUUGGCCACCA
RNAcentral lists this transfer RNA (88 nucleotides) under Desulfovibrionaceae bacterium. Its description in RNAcentral is "tRNA-Leu". It matches the Rfam family "tRNA". Rfam says of the family: Transfer RNA (tRNA) molecules are approximately 80 nucleotides in length. Lineage: Bacteria; Pseudomonadati; Thermodesulfobacteriota; Desulfovibrionia; Desulfovibrionales; Desulfovibrionaceae. The record is from RNAcentral.